Molecule: long non-coding RNA, 1638 nt
Organism: Callithrix jacchus (white-tufted-ear marmoset)
Lineage: Eukaryota; Metazoa; Chordata; Mammalia; Primates; Cebidae
Source: Ensembl
UUUAAAAGGGCUCUGUAACAUAAAAUGAUGACUAUAUUAAUUUCGGGUUUGUACAGUUUCAAUAUGCAUAUGGACAAAGACUGGAAGAAAACAAUACCAAAAAAUUCUCACAUUGGGGUGAGGCGCUGACUGUGCAAUUCUGUCACCUUGUAUUGAAUGUCUAUUAGACCUGAGCAAAGGGUUAGGGAUUCAAGCAGGGCAGCUUCCCAUCUGCUAGUAGACAGCACAUCCUCAUCCUGUAUGGAUGAUCGCACGGAUAACUAUGGAGUUACCCAUGGUGAUGCACUACAGUAGUUCGUUCGCAUUGCAAUAAAGGAAUACCUGAGACUGUGCGAUUUAUGAAGAAAAGAGAUUGACUCGGCGCAUGGCUUUGUAGGCUGUAUGAGAAGCAUGGCACCAGCGUCUGCUUCUGGGGGCCUCAGGAAGCUUCUAAUCAUGGUACAAGGUGAAGGAGGAGCCAGCAUCUCACUUGGCCAAAGCACAAUCAAGAGAGAGAGGGAGGUGCCAGCCUCCUGUGAACUCACAGAGUGAGACCUCAUUUAUCACCAUGGCGAUGGCCCAAUCGCUUCAUGAGGGAUCUGCCCCCAUGAUCCCACACCUCCCGCCAGGCCCCGCCUCCAACAUUGGGGGGGCACAUUUCAGCAUGACAUUUGGAGGAGACAAAGAGCCAAGCCAUACCGUACCAGCAGGAAAGGAAGUCCUGGUUCCCAUGGAGUUUCGCUGUUGUUACCCAGACUGGAGUGCAAUGGCACGAUCUCGGCUCACCGCAACCUCCGCCUCCUGGGUUCAAGCAAUUCUCCUGCCUCAGCCUCCCAAGUAGCUGGGACUGCAGGAGGAGCCACCUUGAUCGCCAUGGCAAGGCAGGUCCACAGCCACACCCAGCCUACAUGGGAGCAGAGAAGCGGAGCUGCACUCUGGAGAAGAAUGUUUGUCAGUGUCUCUAAUAACUAUCGUGUCCCUGACACCUGGGGUGGAAUUCAUGAGCUCCAAGAGCAUUUUAUACCUGUGGCUGCUCUAAAUACUUCCCGUGUUGAACUGCCCUUCUGGAGGUCCCUGACACUAAAUUCCUGAGACCGGGGGAGGAGUAUUUAUCUGCCACUGUCUCUAACCUCGGUCCUGACAGAGGCGCAGAGCAGGUGCUCAGAUGUGCGGAAAAAAGAAACUCUUUUUACCUACUAAAACCUCUCCUUAUCUGGGAUUUUUACAAUGUGUAUUUAUAACUGCAAAUAAAUUAGUCUUUCCUCUCCUGGAUUUCCUGGAAAAAAAAAAAAAAGACAUGUUUUGGGAAAUUACUAUGACUCCAGAAAUCCCAGGGUAGCUAUGGAAGACUCAUCACAUGUAACUGGACAGAUGGCCAGGAGAGUUAGGAAAUAAAAAUCUUAUCAUCAGCAAACCUGCUGUCAACUUGCUAACGGGAGACAGGUGAUGGAAACAGAGAGCAGGAGUGCCGCGGCCUCUUCCCGGCUUCAGGUCUCUGCACUGUGCUCACUUGACUUCCGGAAACACUGAGUGUGCUGUGCUCAGUUAUCGGGAUAGCGUUUGCAUGACUUUAUACAAACAUAUAUUCAACUUCAUAUUUUAAUAAAGCUUCGUCUUUGCUAAAACAUAAAGGCUGACUGUCCAUAUUCCUUAAAAAGU